GCGGGCGUAGCUCAGGGGUAGAGCACAACCUUGCCAAGGUUGGGGUCGCGAUUUCGAAUCUCGUCUCUUGCU
RNAcentral lists this transfer RNA (72 nucleotides) under Novosphingobium sp. RNAcentral describes it as "tRNA-Gly". It matches the Rfam family "tRNA". Rfam says of the family: Transfer RNA (tRNA) molecules are approximately 80 nucleotides in length. Their secondary structure includes four short double-helical elements and three loops (D, anti-codon, and T loops). Lineage: Bacteria; Pseudomonadati; Pseudomonadota; Alphaproteobacteria; Sphingomonadales; Sphingomonadaceae. RNAcentral also lists the same sequence under 1 other name. The record is from RNAcentral.